AGUUUUUGAACGCAAGUUGCGCCCGAAGCCAUUUGGUUGAGGGCAUGUCUGCCUGGGCGUCACGC
RNAcentral lists this ribosomal RNA (65 nucleotides) under Leontopodium artemisiifolium. RNAcentral's name for it is "partial 5.8S ribosomal RNA". Lineage: Eukaryota; Viridiplantae; Streptophyta; Magnoliopsida; Asterales; Asteraceae. The record is from RNAcentral.